This 377-nucleotide ribosomal RNA is filed under the name uncultured bacterium. RNAcentral describes it as "bacterial SSU rRNA". It matches the Rfam family "Bacterial small subunit ribosomal RNA", at positions 523 to 898 of the family's 1533-position model. The record is from RNAcentral.
AUACGUAGGGGGCAAGCGUUGUCCGGAUUUAUUGGGCGUAAAGAGCGUGUAGGCGGCCAAAUAGGUCAGCUGUGAAAACUCGAGGCUCAACCUCGAGAUGUCGGCUGAAACCAUCUGGCUAGAGUCCGGAAGAGGAGAAUGGAAUUCCCGGUGUAGCGGUGAAAUGCGCAGAUAUCGGGAAGAACACCCGUGGCGAAGGCGGUUCUCUGGGACGGUACUGACGCUGAGACGCGAAAGCGUGGGGAGCGAACAGGAUUAGAUACCCUGGUAGUCCACGCCGUAAACGAUGGGAACUAGGUGUGGGCGGUGUCGACUCCGUCCGUGCCGAAGCUAACGCAUUAAGUUCCCCGCCUGGGGAGUACGGCCGCAAGGCUAAA